ACGCUGAAGAGAGGAGCUUGCUCUUCUUGGAUGAGUUGCGAACGGGUGAGUAACGCGUAGGUAACCUGCCUUGUAGCGGGGGAUAACUAUUGGAAACGAUAGCUAAUACCGCAUAACAAUGGAUGACACAUGUCAUUUAUUUGAAAGGGGCAAUUGCUCCACUACAAGAUGGACCUGCGUUGUAUUAGCUAGUAGGUGAGGUAACGGCUCACCUAGGCGACGAUACAUAGCCGACCUGAGAGGGUGAUCGGCCACACUGGGACUGAGACACGGCCCAGACUCCUACGGGAGGCAGCAGUAGGGAAUCUUCGGCAAUGGGGGCAACCCUGACCGAGCAACGCCGCGUGAGUGAAGAAGGUUUUCGGAUCGUAAAGCUCUGUUGUAAGUCAAGAACGAGUGUGAGAGUGGAAAGUUCACACUGUGACGGUAGCUUACCAGAAAGGGACGGCUAACUACGUGCCAGCAGCCGCGGUAAUACGUAGGUCCCGAGCGUUGUCCGGAUUUAUUGGGCGUAAAGCGAGCGCAGGCGGUUUGAUAAGUCUGAAGUUAAAGGCUGUGGCUCAACCAUAGUUCGCUUUGGAAACUGUCAAACUUGAGUGCAGAAGGGGAGAGUGGAAUUCCAUGUGUAGCGGUGAAAUGCGUAGAUAUAUGGAGGAACACCGGUGGCGAAAGCGGCUCUCUGGUCUGUAACUGACGCUGAGGCUCGAAAGCGUGGGGAGCGAACAGGAUUAGAUACCCUGGUAGUCCACGCCGUAAACGAUGAGUGCUAGGUGUUGGAUCCU
This 782-nucleotide ribosomal RNA is filed under the name uncultured Streptococcus sp. Its description in RNAcentral is "bacterial SSU rRNA". It matches the Rfam family "Bacterial small subunit ribosomal RNA", at positions 66 to 831 of the family's 1533-position model. Lineage: Bacteria; Bacillati; Bacillota; Bacilli; Lactobacillales; Streptococcaceae. The record is from RNAcentral.